RNAcentral lists this long non-coding RNA (482 nucleotides) under Elaeis guineensis (African oil palm). RNAcentral describes it as "long non-coding RNA (EGUI_LNC069466)". Lineage: Eukaryota; Viridiplantae; Streptophyta; Magnoliopsida; Arecales; Arecaceae. The record is from RNAcentral.
GCCGGGUUUUGUCACCGUCAGGAUGAGGUUCUCCUUCCAUUCCUGACGUAGUCGAUCUCAGCUCAGGUUAGGAUGAGGUUCUCCUCUUGUUCCCAAUGGGGCUGUGGGGGCACAUAAGGGUCAUUGCAAGGGCCUCUCCCCCCAUUCAGUCUAGAAGAAUCGGGCCUUCGACUUUGCUCAUGUCAGGAUGAGGUUCUCCUCCUGUUCCUGACAUGGCUGUGGGGGCGCAUUAGGGCGUUGUAAGGCCUCUCCCCCCAUCCGAUCUAAAAGAACUGGGCCUUUGACUUUGCUCAUGUUAGGAUGAGGUUCUCCUCCUGUUCUUGACAUGGCUGUGUGGGUGCAUUCGGGUGUUGUAAGACCUCUCCCCCCAUCCGAUCUAAAAGAACCGGGCCUUUGACUUUGCUCAUGUCAGGACGAGGUUCUCCUCCUAUUCCAAACAUGGCUGUGGGGGCGCAUUCGGGCGUUGUAAGGCCUCUCCCCCC